ACAAGGAUUCCCCUAGUAACGGCGAGUGAACCGGGAAAAGCUCAAAUUUGAAAUCUGGCUGUCUUCGAUAGUCCGAGUUGUAAUCUAUAGAAGCGUUUUCCGUGCUGAACUGUGUCUAAGUCCCUUGGAACAGGGUAUCAAAGAGGGUGAUAAUCCCGUACUUGACACAACCAUCAGUGCUCUGUGAUACGUUCUCUACGAGUCGAGUUGUUUGGGAAUGCAGCUCAAAAUGGGUGGUAAAUUCCAUCUAAAGCUAAAUAUUGGCGAGAGACCGAUAGCGAACAAGUACCGUGAGGGAAAGAUGAAAAGCACUUUGGAAAGAGAGUUAAACAGUACGUGAAAUUGUUGAAAGGGAAACGAUUGAAGUCAGUCGUGUUCAUUGGAUUCAGCUAGUUCUUCUAGUCUACUUCCUUUGAACGGGUCAACAUCAGUUUUGUCCGGUGGAUAAAGGAUUUAGGAAUGUGACUCCCUCGGGAGUGUUAUAGCCUAGGUUCACAUACACUGGGUGAGACUGAGGACUGCAGCUCGCCUUUUGGCCGGGGUUCGCCCACGUUCGAGCUUAGGAUGUUGACAUAAUGGCUUUA
Molecule: ribosomal RNA, 584 nt
Filed under: Apiotrichum montevideense
Lineage: Eukaryota; Fungi; Basidiomycota; Tremellomycetes; Trichosporonales; Trichosporonaceae
Description: partial large subunit ribosomal RNA
Rfam family: Eukaryotic large subunit ribosomal RNA
Source: RNAcentral